This 88-nucleotide microRNA precursor is filed under the name Vicugna pacos (alpaca). RNAcentral's name for it is "miRNA (ENSVPAG00000015748.1)". The record is from RNAcentral. Lineage: Eukaryota; Metazoa; Chordata; Mammalia; Artiodactyla; Camelidae.
UCUGUGUGUGUGCGUAUAUGUACUUGUAAGUAUAUAUAUAUAUAUACACACACACACACACACACACACACAUACACACACACACAAG